Molecule: ribosomal RNA, 496 nt
Filed under: uncultured bacterium
Lineage: Bacteria
Description: partial 16S ribosomal RNA
Rfam family: Bacterial small subunit ribosomal RNA
Source: RNAcentral
AUGAACGCUGGCGGCGUGCCUAAUACAUGCCCGUCGAGCGAACAGACGAGGAGCUUGCUCCUCUGACGUUAGCGGCGGACGGGUGAGUAACACGUGGAUAACCUACCUAUAAGACUGGGAUAACUUCGGGAAACCGGAGCUAAUACCGGAUAAUAUAUUGAACCGCAUGGUUCAAUAGUGAAAGACGGUUUUGCUGUCACUUAUAGAUGGAUCCGCGCCGCAUUAGCUAGUUGGUAAGGUAACGGCUUACCAAGGCAACGAUGCGUAGCCGACCUGAGAGGGUGAUCGGCCACACUGGAACUGAGACACGGUCCAGACUCCUACGGGAGGCAGCAGUAGGGAAUCUUCCGCAAUGGGCGAAAGCCUGACGGAGCAACGCCGCGUGAGUGAUGAAGGUCUUCGGAUCGUAAAACUCUGUUAUUAGGGAAGAACAAAUGUGUAAGUAACUAUGCAUGUCUUGACGGUACCUAAUCAGAAAGCCACGGCUAACUACGUG